GCCGAGAUGGCGGAAUCGGUAGACGCAGCGGAUUCAAAAUCCGCCGCCGAAAGGCGUGAGGGUUCGAGUCCCUCUCUCGGCACCA
Molecule: transfer RNA, 85 nt
Filed under: Betaproteobacteria bacterium
Lineage: Bacteria; Pseudomonadati; Pseudomonadota; Betaproteobacteria
Also listed under: 2 other names
Description: tRNA-Leu
Rfam family: tRNA
About the family: Transfer RNA (tRNA) molecules are approximately 80 nucleotides in length.
Source: RNAcentral